GCCAGCAUGGUGUAAUGGUUUGAGUGUUGGACUAUGACUCUGGAGAACAGGGUUCAAUUCCCAGCUCAGCCA
RNAcentral lists this transfer RNA (72 nucleotides) under Phrynosoma platyrhinos (Desert horned lizard). RNAcentral's name for it is "tRNA-OTHER". Lineage: Eukaryota; Metazoa; Chordata; Lepidosauria; Squamata; Phrynosomatidae. The record is from RNAcentral.